This 438-nucleotide ribosomal RNA is filed under the name uncultured Flexibacter sp. RNAcentral describes it as "bacterial SSU rRNA". It matches the Rfam family "Bacterial small subunit ribosomal RNA", at positions 57 to 486 of the family's 1533-position model. Lineage: Bacteria; Pseudomonadati; Bacteroidota; Cytophagia; Cytophagales; Flexibacteraceae. The record is from RNAcentral.
GCAAGUCGAACGGUAACAGGGAAAAGCUUGCUUUUCCGCUGACGAGUGGCGCACGGGUGCGCAACGCGUAUAGAACCUACCCUGUACAGGGGGAUAGCCCGGAGAAAUCCGGAUUAAUACCCCGUAGUAAUUAGAAUUGGCAUCGAUUUUAAUUUAAAGCUUCGGCGGUACAGGAUGGCUAUGCGUCCUAUUAGCCAGAUGGUGAGGUAACGGCUCACCAUAGCUAUGAUAGGUAGGGGCCCUGAGAGGGGGAUCCCCCACACUGGUACUGAGACACGGACCAGACUCCUACGGGAGGCAGCAGUGAGGAAUAUUGGACAAUGGGCUCACGCCUGAUCCAGCCAUGCCGCGUGCAGGAAGACAGCCCUAUGGGUUGUAAACUGCUUUUAUACGGGAAGAAUAAGGGGCACGUGUGCCCUGGUGACGGUACCGUAAGAA